GACCAGCGACGCCGCGUGCGUGAUGACGGUCUUCGGAUUGUAAAGCUCUGUCUUUAGGGAAGAAAGUGACGGUACCUGAAAAGUUACGUGAUUGACUGUACCUUAAAAAAAAGCCCCGGCUAAUUCCUUGCCACCGCCCCGGGUAUAAA
Molecule: ribosomal RNA, 149 nt
Filed under: uncultured Clostridium sp.
Lineage: Bacteria; Bacillati; Bacillota; Clostridia; Eubacteriales; Clostridiaceae
Description: partial 16S ribosomal RNA
Rfam family: Bacterial small subunit ribosomal RNA
Source: RNAcentral